GUGACACCAGAGUAGUGCCGGACACGUGGAAUCCGGCAUGAAGCCGGGGGGCCCACCCCCCAAGCCUAAAUACUAACCAGUGACCGAUAGCGAAGUAGUACCGUGAGGGAAAGGUGAAAAGAACCCCGGGAGGGGAGUGAAAUAGAACCUGAAACCUUAUGCUUACAAUCGGAGGGAGCGCAAGUGACCUCAUACUUUUUGUAGAACGGGCCAACGAGUUAUGGUAUGUAGCAAGGUUAAGGUGCUGGAGCACCGAAGCCGCAGGGAAACCGAGUCUUAAUAGGGCGAGAAGUUACAUGCUGUAGACCCGAAACCGGGUGACCUAUCCAUGUGCAGGUUGAAGUAACUGUAAAAGGUUAUGGAGGACCGAACUCAUGUCUGUUAAAAAAGGCUGGGAUGACGUGUGGAUAGCGGUGAAAUUCCAAUCGAACUCGGAGAUAGCUGGUUCUCCUCGAAAUAGCUUUAGGGCUAGCCUCAAGGAAAGAUACGCGGGGGUAAAGCACUGAAUGUUCAAGGGGCCUUCACCGGUUACCAAAAACUAUCAAACUCAGAAUACCGCAGUAUUAUACUUGGGAGUCAGGCUAUGUGAGAUAAGUUUCAUAGUCGAGAGGGAAACAACCCAGACCAACAGCUAAGGUCCCCAAAUGUAAGUUAAGUGGAAAAGGAUGUGGAGUUGCAUAAACAGCUAGGAUGUUGGCUUAGAAGCAGCCAUACAUUUAAAGAGUGCGUAAUAGCUCACUAGUCGAGUGACCCUGCGCCGAAGAUAAACGGGGCUAAAACUUACUACCGAAGCUUUGGAACAGAAAUGUUGGUAGAGGAGCAUUGUAUACAGGCAGAAGGUAAAUUGUGAAGUUUGCUGGACAGUAUACAAGAGAGAAUGUUGGCAUGAGUAGCGAGAGGCAGGUGAGAAUCCUGCCCGCCGAAAAUCUAAGGUUUCCUGAGGAAGGUUCGUCCACUCAGGGUUAGUCGGGGCCUAAGCCCAGAGCGAGAGCUGUAGGCGAUGGACAACAGGUAGAAAUUCCUGUACCACCGAGGAUUGAAUGAGUGAAGUGGGGACACAGAAGGAUAGGUUGAGCACGCCGUUGGUAGAGCGUGUCCAAGCGUUAAGGGAGUAUAAGUAGGCAAAUCCGCAUAUACAAUUCUGAGGCGUUAUGGGGUGGCGAAAGAGCCUGAAGCAACUGAUUUCAUGCUGUCAAGAAAAUCCGCUAACAAGAUUCAAGGUGCCCGUACCGCAAACCGACACAGGUAGAUGAGGAGAGAAUCCUAAGGCGAGCGAGAGAACUAUUGUUAAGGAACUCGGCAAAAUUACCCCGUAACUUCGGGAGAAGGGGUGCCACAGAAAUGUGGCCGCAGUGAAUAGGCCCAGGCAACUGUUUACCAAAAACACAGGUCUCUGCAAAAGCGAAAGCUGAAGUAUAGGGGCUGACGCCUGCCCGGUGCUGGAAGGUUAAGGGGAAGUGUUAGGGUAACCGAAGCACAGAACUUAAGCCCCAGUAAACGGCGGCCGUAACUAUAACGGUCCUAAGGUAGCGAAAUUCCUUGUCGGGUAAGUUCCGACCCGCACGAAAGGCGUAAUGA
RNAcentral lists this ribosomal RNA (1578 nucleotides) under human gut metagenome. RNAcentral describes it as "bacterial LSU rRNA". It matches the Rfam family "Bacterial large subunit ribosomal RNA", at positions 401 to 2007 of the family's 2925-position model. The record is from RNAcentral.